UGGAGGGUAUAGGACUCUUUUAUUACUAGUUUUCAGAGUGGAAAUAUGUAGGAGAAAAUUCCCUGAGGUCUAUCAUCUAGUUUUCAAAGGGGCCAGAGACUGUAAUAGAUGACAUAGGCCUGCUAGCAGAAAACAAUAGACCCUAGAUAUGAUCACUGGGAGGGUAAAUACAAAUAUAGCAGACGUGAUACACAUUACAAAGGAAUAACAUGUAGGCCUAUCUGAAACACUACAGACAAAAGUACUACAAACUACAGUACUGCAAACAACAAACAUAAUCAAAUGUUGCCAUAAAAAGACUUAGUGUAGUACUUCAUUCUCAAGUACUGAUGAGAAUGAACCUUUGGGGAUGCAUUGAAACACGAUCUUGAUGACAAUCCAAUGUCCCAGUUUUAUCUGACAGUCUUUCAGCGUCAGUGGCAAUUGAGGAAUAGUGUCAGUAGAACAAUGGUCAAUUGGUCGAUUCAGGGUCCUCUGACUAUGAUGGAGGUUAUCCACAGCUUUUUCAAGCCAUUCUUGUAUUGCCUUUACAGCGCUGACACAGCAGAGGAAUCUUUCCAUAAACAGAUGUGUGUGUGUGUGUGUGUGUGUGUGUGUGUGUGUGUGUGUGUGUGUGUGUGUGUGUGUGUGUGUGUGUGAGAGAGAGAGAGACAGAGAGACAGAGAGAGAGACAGAGAGAGAGAGAGACAGAGAGAGAGAGAGAAGGAGAGAGAGAGAGAGACAGAGAGAGAGAGAGAGAGAGAGAGAAAGAAAGAAAAAGAGAGAGAGUUUGUCUACUGUUGGACUGAAGGGAGGGAAUCUACACACUUCAUAAAUAUUUAUCUCACACAUCAGUCUCUCAUUUAUUGGCAAUAAACAUCUCCUGCCUCUGACGUCUGCAGCUCAUACAGGCUACAGAGGGCAGGAAGGAACAUCCAGUGAUAGGAGUAACUGUAGAUGUAUUCUAACCAUGUCUGUUACAUUGGUUUGGAAGAGCGAAUAUGACAAUGAGAAUGUAGUACUUAAUGUAAUUGGUUGACGCCAACUUUUUGCAUUUGUAAUAUUCAGUCAAUUGUAGUUCUCAGUUUUCAGCCAUGGUUUACGUGACCCUGUGUUGCUAGUUGCUGCAGGUGAAGAGGAGAGGUGAUGUCCUCAGGACCUUGCAUAGCGAACAGACACACGCCUCUCUGCCUUUUUCUGUCUGGAACAUUGGCUCAUUAGGGAAGCUGAUUAAAUUGAUGGGACGAGGGUCGGGCCAACCACUGGAGGGAGAAAUGCUGUGCUGGGAUGAACAUGGAGAGAGGGAAGAGGAGAUGAAGGAAGACAAACACAGAAAGAGGUGGAGGGAUGGACAGGGAAGUAUAGGGCUGUUUGCAGAAGGGAAAGAGGCAUGGACAGAAAGAGUGUGGGGAGUUGAGGGAGAGAGGGAUAGGCAGAGUGAGAGAGAAAGAUAGGAAUGUAGUGUUAGUGAUUGUAGUUGGCGGCUCUGAGGGCUCUUCGCCACAUGAGUCUGUGCACGGAGACCAGACGUUCCUUUCUAAUGGAACCCUACAGAGCACAGGCGAAAAGCCACUCAAAUCCUCUAUCUAAUGAAAUGACAUAAUGUGUCUGUGUGCCUGAAAAAGAGGGGAUGUCAAGAGAAGUUAGGAGGGAUGUUACUUUUUCUCUUUUAAACUUCAAACAUAUUUUUAAUUGAGGACUAAUUAGGUUCCAGGAAACCGGCCCUCAAGAUUAAAGGAGAAAGUGGAAGUUUCAGAGAGACAAUAAUGAGGGUAUGUUGUACUUUCUAUGUGUGCUGUCUGCCUAACACCCAAGGCAUUUCAUUAUCACCCUCAUUCAUCUAAUCAUCGGAU
RNAcentral lists this long non-coding RNA (1832 nucleotides) under Oncorhynchus kisutch (coho salmon). Its description in RNAcentral is "lncRNA (ENSOKIG00005004246.1)". Lineage: Eukaryota; Metazoa; Chordata; Actinopteri; Salmoniformes; Salmonidae. The record is from RNAcentral.